This 200-nucleotide unclassified non-coding RNA is filed under the name soil metagenome. RNAcentral describes it as "partial contains internal transcribed spacer 2 and large subunit ribosomal RNA". The record is from RNAcentral.
CACGUCUGCUCCUCUCAAAUGCAUUAGCUGGAUCUCCGUGAGCUCGGUUCUACUCGGCGUGGAUAAGCAAUCACUCGCCGAGGACACUGUAAAAAGUGGCCGGGAUUGCAGAUGAACUGCUUCCAAUCGUCUAUUAGCUUAGACAAUCGAACCUUUACGAUCUGAUCUCAAAUCAGGUAGGACUUACCCGCUGAACUUAA